Molecule: long non-coding RNA, 4591 nt
Filed under: Oryza sativa Indica Group (long-grained rice)
Lineage: Eukaryota; Viridiplantae; Streptophyta; Magnoliopsida; Poales; Poaceae
Description: lncRNA OsZS97_04G025220
Source: RNAcentral
AUGUUACCGGAAAACGUCGGCGACGGCGGUGGUGGUGGUGGACGACCGGUCAUGUUACCGGAAACCGUCGGCGACGGUGGUUCAUCUGGGCUCUUGUGCCUGCCACCGGAAGCUCUCGGCGUGUCCUCCUCCGGCGGCGCCUGCGUUCCACCGCCGGAAACUCUUGGCGUGGAAGGUGGUGGCACACGUACACUGGCGUAUGCGUCCGGCGGUGUGUGCUUGCCACCGGAAACUCUCGGUGGUGUGUCCUGUGGUGGCGGCGGCGAACGGACACUCGUGUUUGCGUCCGGGGGCGUGUGCGUGCCACCGGAGAUCUUUGGUGUGCGUGGCGGCGGCGAUCUUACACUUGUGUAUGCGUCCGGCGGCGGCGUGUUCGUGCCACUGGAAGAAGCUGUCGGAUGUUCCGGUGGAGGGAGUCGCACGCUUGUUUCAACCACUGGCGCCGGCGGCGGUGGUGUUCGACGGGGAAAGGUCUUUGGUGAACCAAGGGAAAAUCUGGGAGCAGGCGGUGGAGGAGAGCGCACGCUCGUUUCAGACAUCGGUGUCUGCGGUGGAGGUGUUCGACGGGGAAAGGUCUUCGGUGGAACGGACGGUGGAGGAGAGAGCUCGCUCGUUUCAGCCACUGGCGCCGGCGGCGGAGGUGUUCGACGGGGAACGGUCUUCGGUGGACCAAGGGAGAAUCUAGGAACGGGCGGUGGAGGAGAGAGCUCGCUCGUUUCAGCCACUGCUGCCGGCGGCGGAGGUGUUCGACGGGGAAAGGUCUUCGGUGGACCAAGGGAGAAUCUGGGAACGGGCGGUGGAGGAGGGUGCUCGCUCGUUUCAGCCAUUGGUGCCGGCGGCGGAGGUGUUAUACGGGGAAAAGUCUUUGGUGGACCAAGGGAGAAUCUCGGAGCAGACGGUGGAGGAGAGCGCACGCUCGUUUCAGCCACUGGCGCCAGCGGCGGAGGUGUUCGACGGGGAAAGGUCUUCGGUGGACCAAGGGAGAAUCUAGGAACGGGCGGUGGAGGAGAGAGCUCGCUCGUUUCAGCCACUGAUGCUGGCGGUGGUGGUGUUGGACCAGGAAAGGUCUUUGGUGGACUAAGGGAGAAUCUAGGAGCGGGCGGUGGAGAAGAGCGGAUGCUCGUUUCAGCCGUUGGUGUUGGCGGCGGCGGUGUUGGACUGGGAAAGGUCUUCGGUGGACCAAGGGAGAAUCUAGGAGCGGGCGGAGGAGGAGAUUGCACACUCGUUUCAGCCAUUGGCGACGGUGGUGGUGGUGUUGGACUGGGAAAAGUCUUCGGUGGACCAAGCGAGAAUCUCGGAGCGGGCGGUGGAGGAGAUCGCACACUCAUUUCAGCCGUUGGCGCCGACGGCGGUGGUGUUGGACUGGGAAAUGUCUUUGGUGGACCAAGGGAGAAUCUGGGAUCGGACGGUGGAGGAGAGCGCACGCUCGUUUCAGCUGUUGGUGCCUGCGGCGGUGGUGUUGGACUGGGAACCGAUGGCGCGCACGCGCCACCGCUGCUGGUCGCCGCGACGCCGGCGCAAUGCCGCAGCAGGCCAUGCGGGAGGAGCGAGGCGACGAAGGUGCGGGUGAAGGGCCCGCAGUGCUCGUCGGCCUCGCACGCCGCGAGGCGGCACGCGCGCGGAAUGGGGCACCCCGUGAAGAAGGCGGCGAGCAGGUCGUGCUUGCAGCGGCCCAGCGUCAGCAGAGACUCCCAGCAGAUGCCCGAGUCGGUGUGCGGGCCGCCCGGGAAGAUGCUGUCGAACGCCUCAUCGAUCAUUCAUGGCAGUCGAGGCAUGCAGCAUAUGUCGUCGAAGAGGGGCAAGAGAGCACGCCGGUCGUCCGCCGGCCAGCCGCUGCCGGACGAAAUGAUGACAGAAAUCGUUCUGCGCCUGCCGGCCUAUUCCAUCGUCCGUUUCCGCGCUGUCUCCCGCUCAUGGGCCGCUAUGCUCUCUUCUCCUGGAUUCCAGGACGGCUACGCGGCCAUGGCAGAUGCCCGUCGCAUGAGCAUGAGCAAGUUCGUCUUCUUUGCGGCGUCGCCGGCGUCGCCCAGAGGCGCCACGGCUGUCUACUCCUGCGACGUCGGCCCAGUCCGGCGCAUCACGACGACGACGACCGACUUGCUCUUCAAUAUCGACCGCCUGCGCCCGGGCUUCCUCGUCGUCUCAAGCAGGCCGUGCCACGGCCUGACGCUCCUGGCUGACACUCGAUCCUUCGCCUACUGGGUGUGCAAUUCCAGCACCGGCGUGUUCAGGCCAUUGCCGCGGCGGCGCUGCCACGAUCUGUCCAGCGCCGGCCUAGCCUUCGACGAUCGGACCAAGGAGCACAAGGUGGUGCAUCUCUUCUGCCAUGUGAGCCGUGGCGGCGAGAACCUCUUCCCUGACACGACGGUAUUUGAGAACCGAAACAGCAGCGUUCCAGUGCUAUGCUUCUCUGUUGCCGACGAGGCCUUCAGCCUGGUCGCUGGGCCGGCGGUCGACGGCAUAGCGGAUUACUGCGCUUUGGACAGCCACUCCCCGGCUGUUCCACUCCACCUGGUGGAGCUCCAUGGCUCUUUGUGCAUGGUCCGCGAUCUCCGCCAUCUUCCGCAUGGUGAAAGCUGCCUGGAGAUAUGGGCGCUGAGAGAUUACAGCGCCAGCGUAUGGUCACUCGACUUCCGUGUCGCCAUGACGCCGCAGGUGGCACGCGACAUGCACGAUCCCCGGUUCAUCACCGUCCUUGGAUGUCUCGGCGGCGCGCGCGGAGACGACGUCGGGAGUGUGGAGCGGAUCAAGAAAAUCCUGAUCGCUACCUCGCAGCACAAGGUGCACGCCUACGACCCAGCUACGGGGAGCAUCGAAACGGUGGUCACCGUCCCAGAGGAUUUCGCCGGCGGCCGGGAGGAGGCGGUGGCCGGUAUUCGGAUUGGUCUGUACGAGGACAGCCUUGCCCGUGUAGGCGGCGAGAGUUGUCGACAGAGGGAAGCCACGGCGGCGAUGACUGAGAUCCUACUACGGUUGCCGCCCAAAUCAAUCGCCAUGUGCAUGCUCGUUUGCAGACAGUGGCGCACACUGAUCGAGAGCGAGCGCUUUCUUACGUCACACAUGCUUGCUAACAUGGAACGGAAGAAGGUCAUGGUAGUCACGAAUGGCCGUCGACGGGAGAAUUUCUUUAAUUUCAUGCCGGUGGAGACCUGGAUUGGGCCUGCCGCCAAAGCUCGUUCGGACGUUCUUGUCAACCGCAGGAUCCUCUGCUCUAAGCCAUGCCAUGGACUUAACCUGAUAAGCACCAGCAGCGACGACUACCUGUGCAACCCUUGCACUGGUUCUAUCCGGUGUCUUGGAAUCCGUGGAAAGUUUCGUGAGAUUGAUCCAACUGUCAGUAUUGAUGACGAUCGCCGCCAUGUCACGAGAGUUGGCAGGAACAUCGGGCUAGGAUUCGACCGGUUGUCACAAGAGCAUGUAGUGGUUGAGAUGAGCCGCUUCAAAGGCGACCUGCAGCUGUGCAUGAUCAAGACGAGCUGCGUGGAUUACUGGAGCUGCGCUGGCAAGCCGCCGAGGCCGGUGACCGACAUGCCACCGGCACAUGUUGACGGGACGCUCUACUGGAUCAGCGAGCCACAGCCGACGGCCCGAGACCGUGUCAUUGUGGCAUUUGACAUCUCCUCCCGGGAGUUCUCCGUCUUGCCAUGCCAGCCAUGCUGCAGCGAGAGGGACGGCGGUGAUUAUCCGUUGCUCGUCGAGCUGGAAGGAUCGCUGUCGCUCGUCGUCGCAAACGCGGAGGAGAACAAUCUGCAGAUAUGGACGAUGCAGGAGGCUGACGGCACAUGGCACAAAAGUUACAGCAUCUUACUGGACGAGAGGUACCCGGACUUCUCACUAAAAACGGGCGUGGUGGUAGUGCCACUGGACGCCGUCGCCGAUAGCAAUGGCGGCGGCAGGAUCUUGCUCGACACAGGGCGAGCAUUGGGCUACUACGAUCUCGAGACGAGAAGCAUCGACACCUUGUACUCGCUCGACCAGCUAAAGCUUCCCCAGUGCCAGAUGGCAUUCCCCAUGCUGUACGGGGAUAGCUUGGUGCCCAUCCAGGACGACGAACCGCCCGACUACGUCGCGCCGACUCUUCGCGACGACGACGGCGGGCGGCGCUGCUACUACCAGCCGCAACACGUGGAGAUCAGCGGCGGCGAGCAGCCUGCGGCUGCCUCCUGCGUAUUCCGGCCAUGCGAGGCGGCCGGCGGCGGCUGCAGGGGCAUGGGCUGCGUGUACGCGGGUAGCUGCUGCAGGAGGGUGCUGUGCCGGGAGUGCAGCCUCCCGUGCGUCGAGCACACCGACGGCUUCCACACCGCGAUACUGCCCUUCCUGCCGCGGCGCUCCGCGACGGCGACCGAGAUGGCCGAGGAUUUGCUGCUGGGUUUGCCUCUCGAGCACCCGUGCGUGCCGGGGCCCGAGUACUGCUACUACUACUCGGAGGGGGACGAGGUGGAGGAAGGCGUGGGGCGGCACGUGUUCGUGUCGCUCAGGGAUCUCGCGCGCACCAGGCAGCCGCGCCGUCUCAUCGAGUGUGGGUACAGGAUGGAUAUGAUUUACAUUUUGGUCCUUUUAAAAAACUUAUUUCGCAAAUAGACCCCUGGAA